GAUGAACGCUGGCGGCGUGCCUAAUACAUGCAAGUCGAGCGAACAGACGAGGAGCUUGCUCCUUCGACGUUAGCGGCGGACGGGUGAGUAACACGUAUGUAACCUACCUAUAAUACUGGGAUAACUUCGGGAAACCGGAGCUAAUACCGGAUAAUAUUUCGAACCGCAUUGUUCUAUAGUGAAAUAUUGCUUUUCUUUCUCUUAUAGAUUUACCUGCGCCGUAUUAGCUAGUUGGUAAGGUAACGGCUUACCAAGGCAACGAUACGUAGCCGACCUGAGAGGGGGAUCGGCGACACGGGAAGUGAGACACGGUACAGACUCCUACGGGAGGCAGCAGUAGGGAAUAGUACGCAAUGGGCGAAAGCAUGACGGAGCAAAGACGCGUGAGUGAUGAAGGUCUUCGGAUCGUAAAACUCUGUUAUUAGGGAAGAACAAAAGUGUAAGUAAAUGUGCACGUCUUGACGGUAACUAAUCAGAAAGCAACGGCUAACUACGUG
This 497-nucleotide ribosomal RNA is filed under the name uncultured bacterium. RNAcentral describes it as "partial 16S ribosomal RNA". It matches the Rfam family "Bacterial small subunit ribosomal RNA", at positions 28 to 507 of the family's 1533-position model. The record is from RNAcentral.